Non-coding RNA from Panicum virgatum (switchgrass), 80 nucleotides. The record is from the annotation of a RefSeq genome assembly. Lineage: Eukaryota; Viridiplantae; Streptophyta; Magnoliopsida; Poales; Poaceae.
GCUGAAAUAGCUCAGUUGGUUAGAGCGUGUGCGUGUGGCAGUUAACCACAAGGUCGGAGGUUCAAUCCCUCCUUCUAGUG